UUAAGCCUACUGUGUUGGUGACUGCCAAUAUUGUUUGUUGAUCUAUGCUUGAGCUAAUUGGGAACACCAGUCAUAUGCUGACUGAAGUAGACCGAGCUUGUACUCGGAAAUGGAUGUAUUAGCUAUGAUGUUCCCCCCUGGAUUUUCCAGGUCAGAAGCUGAGGUAAGACGGCACGGCGGGUGAUAA
Non-coding RNA from Limnothrix rosea, 187 nucleotides. It matches the Rfam family "6S / SsrS RNA". From Rfam's summary of the family: E. coli 6S RNA was the first non coding RNA to be sequenced, but its function was unknown until recently. It consists of 184 nucleotides that fold into an extended hairpin structure with a large single-stranded internal bulge. The 6S RNA specifically associates with RNA polymerase holoenzyme containing the sigma70 specificity factor. Lineage: Bacteria; Bacillati; Cyanobacteriota; Cyanophyceae; Pseudanabaenales; Pseudanabaenaceae. The record is from Rfam.